RNAcentral lists this ribosomal RNA (242 nucleotides) under uncultured Geobacillus sp. RNAcentral's name for it is "partial 16S ribosomal RNA". It matches the Rfam family "Bacterial small subunit ribosomal RNA", at positions 1142 to 1382 of the family's 1533-position model. The record is from RNAcentral. Lineage: Bacteria; Bacillati; Bacillota; Bacilli; Caryophanales; Anoxybacillaceae.
AGAGGGACUGCCGGCGACAAGUCGGAGGAAGGUGGGGAGUGACGUCAAAUCAUCAUGCCCCUUAUGACCUGGGCUACACACGUGCUACAAUGGGCGGUACAAAGGGCUGCGAACCCGCGAGGGGGAGCGAAUCCCAAAAAGCCGCUCUCAGUUCGGAUUGCAGGCUGCAACUCGCCUGCAUGAAGCCGGAAUCGCUAGUAAUCGCGGAUCAGCAUGCCGCGGUGAAUACGUUCCCGGGCCUU